GCACAUCUUCGCUAGGCUGCUUUGAGAGGCAGCCAAACCAGUUGGUCAAAGUGUAGUAAGAAACAACUGCCUGAAACAGAGAGGAGAUGCAGCUCACCUAGAGCAAUGGGGGAACAGUUUCCUCCUCAAUCCCAGAGAAACUAGAAGGAGAAAUCUUCCCGGCAGGCGAAAGGUUCCUUUUCUAAUUUCCUUGGCUUUCUCUCUCGCCGGUGGAGCUUCAGCUGUCAUGGCGCCUUCGUGACCACUUGCCUUUUCUGUUUGGGAGGCAGAAAUGAUUUAGGCACCGACACAGUGGAGGGACCCAAAUUUGAUUUUGGCUACUAGAUGGCUUAGAUGUCAAAAGCCAUUUACUAAUGCCAAAAUGGUCAAUGGAUGUGACUUUUUGCCUACCGGCACGGAAUCCCCAUCAAGUUCCUGCCUCCAGUCUCCUGCCGUGAGUUCCUGCCCUGUUACCCUCCAUGAUGGAUGACAGCCUGCUAGGACCCCAGGGAACUCUGCUGCCCUGUACUGUGGUGAAGCAGAAGUCCUGCUCCAUUCGAAGAGCGAAGAGCGAAAGGCAGAAGUCGGGAGGAAGCAGGCAGGGAAAGCUCCGGCUUUGCUGGGAAGUGAUCUGUGCUCUUCAGUGAAUCUAUCACAGAGGUGUAUUUCAAGAUGGUGGCAUUGGUGUGAGGCGGACCAGCCUGUGCUGUACGUGUUUGUUUAGGAACCCCCCCCCCCCUUCAAGGAUGGCAGACGUGCGACCUGUACAAACUGCACCAAGAAAGACCCAUGCAUUGUAGUAAGAAACAAAACAAAACAAACACAGCAAACCAGAAGUCACAGAAACAGUUCUUGUUUUGCCAGAAGAUGUCACCAAGGCAGCGGUGGAGAGGUACCCCGGAGGACCAACCGCUUCCGUGCGGAGUAAUAAAUAAUGUAACUAUUUUGGUAGACAGUACUGUUGUGGCUUUACUUAGAAGUCACGACAGUGGGGACUGGAGCACUUGGAAUCCAUCUGGUUGAAUUGUCAGGAGAGAGAGAAUCCUUGAGUCUGGGACAGCUAACCUUCUCUACCGCCCGGAAGCUCUGCACAUGCUCCUGUUCACAGGCUCUCUGAGAUAGACUAGACGGCUCAGCAAGGCUUACUUCUGCGCUGCAGUGUCCACGGAAUGUCUAAGAAGGUUGCUUUGUGAUAUGAUGAGUGGGCACUGUGGUUUCUUUCAUUCUUGUCUGCCCAGGGGAUGAAUAUAAACUCCCGCUCCUUUUCUCGGGGAGUUUUUGAUGCCAAAGGAGAAGGUAUACUGAAGGUUCAUGACCAUCUCCAGUGCAGAUUGCUUUGGAAACCCCAGAGUUGAACACUCCUCCUUUGCUGACAGGAGCCCAGCAUAACUGUCCCCUGAGAGGCUCUUCGAAGCAGCUGAUUGAGACAGAUGCAGAUACCCACAGCCAAACCCGAUGGAGGUCGGAGACUCUUAUGGAAGUGUUGGGGUAAGAAUUGAAGGCCCUGAAAAGGAUGGGAACCCCACAGUGUGUGUAGUAAUCUUGUGCCUUUUUUUUUUUAUUGUCCCAAUACAAAGCUUGGGUUUCUUUUCAAUGGCACCAAUCUCUCCAGCCACUGCUCUUGCCCACAUUGACCUUGUCCAUUACUUUAAACACUGCCCUCACAGUCCUUUCCUGAUCAAACCGUUUUCCAUACUUUUC
Molecule: long non-coding RNA, 1680 nt
Filed under: Mus musculus (house mouse)
Lineage: Eukaryota; Metazoa; Chordata; Mammalia; Rodentia; Muridae
Description: predicted gene, 36642
Source: RNAcentral